UCCAGACUCCUACGGGAGGCAGCAGUGGGGGAUAUUGCACAAUGGGGGAAACCCUGAUGCAGCGACGCCGCGUGAGUGAAGAAGUAUUUCGGUAUGUAAAGCUCUAUCAGCAGGGAAGAAAAAAGACGGUACCUGACUAAGAAGCCCCGGCUAACUACGUGCCAGCAGCCGCGGUAAUACGUAGGGGGCAAGCGUUAUCCGGAUUUACUGGGUGUAAAGGGAGCGUAGACGGCAAUACAAGUCGGAAGUGAAAUACCCGGGCUCAACCUGGGAACUGCUUUGGAAACUGUAUGGCUGGAGUGCUGGAGAGGUAAGCGGAAUUCCUAGUGUAGCGGUGAAAUGCGUAGAUAUUAGGAGGAACACCGGUGGCGAAGGCGGCUUACUGGACUGUAACUGACGUUGAGGCUCGAAAGCGUGGGGAGCAAACAGGAUUAGAUACCCGCGUAAG
This 448-nucleotide ribosomal RNA is filed under the name uncultured bacterium. RNAcentral describes it as "bacterial SSU rRNA". It matches the Rfam family "Bacterial small subunit ribosomal RNA", at positions 330 to 793 of the family's 1533-position model. The record is from RNAcentral.